AAUUCUCAAUCUCUACAAACUUGUGUUGUUAGUGGAUUGGAGGUGGGGGUUUUGUGGGUGUAUCCAUUAUAUCUACUCCCCUGAAAAUCAUUAGCUGGAAUGCCUUUGCAAACCAACUAUCAGUAUGAUAAUUAUCUACUCUGAUGUUGUUGUGAAGAGAAUCUGCUUUCAAACCGUCAUUUCUGACACUUUGAAUCC
RNAcentral lists this unclassified non-coding RNA (198 nucleotides) under Conocybe mesospora. RNAcentral describes it as "partial internal transcribed spacer 2". The record is from RNAcentral. Lineage: Eukaryota; Fungi; Basidiomycota; Agaricomycetes; Agaricales; Bolbitiaceae.